GACGAACGCUGGCGGCGUGCCUAAUACAUGCAAGUCGAGCGAAUCUGAGGGAGCUUGCUCCCGAAGAUUAGCGGCGAACGGGUGAGUAACACGUGGGUAACCUACCCUAUCGCCCGGGAUAACCCUCGGAAACGGGGGCUAAUACCGGAUGCAGUCACCGGAUUGCAUGAUGCGGUGAUGAAAAGGCUUCGGCCACUUAGGGAUGGGCCCGCGGCGCAUUAGCUAGUUGGUGAGGUAACGGCUCACCAAGGCGACGAUGCGUAGCCGACCUGAGAGGGUGAUCGGCCACACUGGGACUGAGACACGGCCCAGACUCCUACGGGAGGCAGCAGUAGGGAAUUUUCCGCAAUGGGCGAAAGCCUGACGGAGCAACGCCGCGUGAGUGAAGACGGCCUUCGGGUUGUAAAGCUCUGUUCUUGGGGAAGAAAAAAAUGACGGUACCCAAGGAGAAAGCCCCGGCUAACUAC
RNAcentral lists this ribosomal RNA (467 nucleotides) under uncultured Bacillota bacterium. RNAcentral describes it as "bacterial SSU rRNA". It matches the Rfam family "Bacterial small subunit ribosomal RNA", at positions 28 to 504 of the family's 1533-position model. Lineage: Bacteria; Bacillati; Bacillota. The record is from RNAcentral.